RNAcentral lists this transfer RNA (71 nucleotides) under Neobacillus vireti LMG 21834. RNAcentral describes it as "Bacillus vireti LMG 21834 tRNA-OTHER". It matches the Rfam family "tRNA". Rfam says of the family: Transfer RNA (tRNA) molecules are approximately 80 nucleotides in length. The record is from RNAcentral. Lineage: Bacteria; Bacillati; Bacillota; Bacilli; Caryophanales; Bacillaceae.
GUCCUUUUAGUGUAAUCGGGAGCACAUAUAGGUUUUUAUAUUUAGUUGAGGUUCAAAUCCUCAAAAGGACU